CACGUAGGGGGCGAGCGUUGUCCGGAUUUAUUGGGCGUAAAGAGCUCGUAGGCGGCUCAGUAAGUCAGGUGUGAAAACUCCAGGCUCAACCUGGAGACGCCACUUGAUACUGCUGUGGCUAGAGUCCGGUAGGGGAGCAUGGAAUUCCUGGUGUAGCGGUGAAAUGCGCAGAUAUCAGGAGGAACACCAGCGGCGAAGGCGGUGCUCUGGGCCGGAACUGACGCUGAGGAGCGAAAGCGUGGGGAGCAAACAGG
This 254-nucleotide ribosomal RNA is filed under the name uncultured bacterium. RNAcentral describes it as "partial 16S ribosomal RNA". It matches the Rfam family "Bacterial small subunit ribosomal RNA", at positions 524 to 776 of the family's 1533-position model. The record is from RNAcentral.